AACGAACGCUGACGGCGUGCUUCAUACAUGCAAGUCGAGCGGAUGUAGCAAUACAUCAGCGGCGAACGGGUGCGUAACACGUGAACAAUCUGCCCUCAGGUUUGGGAUAACGGCUCCAACGAGCCGCUAAUACCGGUUAGGUUAGUUUGGUCGCAUGGCCGAAUUAAGAAAGGUGCAAUUGCAUCGCCUGAGGAUGAGUUCGCGGACCAUUAGCUAGUUGGUG
This 223-nucleotide ribosomal RNA is filed under the name uncultured bacterium. Its description in RNAcentral is "partial 16S ribosomal RNA". It matches the Rfam family "Bacterial small subunit ribosomal RNA", at positions 29 to 254 of the family's 1533-position model. The record is from RNAcentral.